GUCUCCUCUGCCUGGAGCGUUCCUUGGGGAAAUAAGCAUAAUUAUGUGCUUAAGGAAAUAGCUUUUAAAUAAGAGUUGGCUUGGAAUGAGAAACCAUCCUUAUCCUUCCAUCUACUUUGGGAGGUUAGUCUGAGAUUCCCUUUGGGCUCAUUCCCACUCCCGGAUUUUCUGCCUUUCGCUCACCCCCUCUUCCGUGUAAGGCCACCAGUGAGGCAUUACAGACCAGCCAUGCCCUCCCCCAUUCUACCCCUCUGAGUGGACAGGUGUGAGGAACAAGCCCCUCCAUAGACAAGGAGCCUUCGCAUUGCAUCAGACCAGGACUUCGCCAGCUGAGGGCACUGAGGCUUAGAGCGAUGGCGGACUUGCCCAGUGCCUCGCCCUUGUGCGAAGGAGCUGGCAGCAAACCCAGUGGUAGCUCCACACUCUGCUCCUUCAGUCAGACACCUGCCUGCCAAGACCUGCCCCUGGUCCCAGUUACACGGGGAAGUCCACCUUCAUGCUCAAAGCUUAGCUUCAUCAAGCUGACUCUCGGGCCACUUCUGUUACGGCCACUAUUGUCUGACUCAGAGCAUGUGGCUAUCCUUACCUGGCAGGACAGGCUUAAGCGCGUGUGCUGGCCUUGAGCCCUCAAAAUAUCAUUUUAUGUCUCAUGAUUUAUUAAAAACUCUAAAUCC
Molecule: long non-coding RNA, 674 nt
Organism: Myotis davidii
Lineage: Eukaryota; Metazoa; Chordata; Mammalia; Chiroptera; Vespertilionidae
Exons: 2
Source: RefSeq, a predicted model, not a curated record